This 497-nucleotide ribosomal RNA is filed under the name uncultured bacterium. RNAcentral describes it as "partial 16S ribosomal RNA". It matches the Rfam family "Bacterial small subunit ribosomal RNA", at positions 28 to 507 of the family's 1533-position model. The record is from RNAcentral.
GAUGAACGCUGGCGGCGUGCCUAAUACAUGCAAGUCGAGCGAACAGACGAGGAGCUUGCUCCUCUGACGUUAGCGGCGGACGGGUGAGUAACACGUGGAUAACCUACCUAUAAGACUGGGAUAACUUCGGGAAACCGGAGCUAAUACCGGAUAAUAUAUUGAACCGCAUGGUUCAAUAGUGAAAGAUGGUUUUGCUGUCACUUAUAGAUGGAUCCGCGCCGCAUUAGCUAGUUGGUAAGGUAACGGCUUACCAAGGCAACGAUGCGUAGCCGACCUGAGAGGGUGAUCGGCCACACUGGAACUGAGACACGGUCCAGACUCCUACGGGAGGCAGCAGUAGGGAAUCUUCCGCAAUGGGCGAAAGCCUGACGGAGCAACGCCGCGUGAAUGAUGAAGGUCUUCGGAUCGUAAAACUCUGUUAUUAGGGAAGAACAAAUGUGUAAGUAACUAUGCACGUCUUGACGGUACCUAAUCAGAAAGCCACGGCUAACUACGUG